Molecule: long non-coding RNA, 953 nt
Filed under: Salmo salar (Atlantic salmon)
Lineage: Eukaryota; Metazoa; Chordata; Actinopteri; Salmoniformes; Salmonidae
Description: lncRNA (ENSSSAG00000120242.1)
Source: RNAcentral
UUGAGGUGUUGGGAACACUGGGUCUGUAGUCUGUGUUGAGGUGUGGGGAACACUGGGUCUGUCUUACUGUGUUGAGGUGUGGGGAACACUGGGUCUGUAGUCUAUCUUACUGUGUUGAGGUGUGGGGAACACUGGGUCUGUAGUCUGUCUUACUGUGUUGAGGUGUGGGGAACACUGGGUCUGUCUUACUGUGUUGAGGUGUGGGGAACACUGGGUCUGUCUUACUGUGUUGAGGUGUGGGGAACACUGGGUCUGUCUUACUGUGUUGAGGUGUGGGGAACACUGGGUCUGUAGUCUAUCUUACUGUGUUCAGGUGUGGGGAACACUGGGUCUGUAGUCUGUCUUACUGUGUUGAGGUGUGGGGAACACUGGGUCUGUCUUACUGUGUUGAGGUGAGGGGAACACUGGGUCUGUAGUCUGUGUUGAGGUGUGGGGAACACUGGGUCUGCAGUCUGUGUUGAGGUGUGGGGAACACUGGGUCUGUAGUCUGUUGAGGUGUGGGGAUCACUGGGUCUGUAGUCUGUGUUGAGGUGUGGGGAACACUGGGUCUGUAGUCUGUCUUACUGUGUUGAGGUGUGGGGAACACUGGGUCUGUAGUCUGUCUUACUGUGUUGAGGUGUUGGGAACACUGGGUCUGUAGUCUGUGUUUAGGUGUGGGGAACACUGGGUCUGUCUUACUGUGUUGAGGUGUGGGGAACACUGGGUCUGUAGUCUAUCUUACUGUGUUCAGGUGUGGGGAACACUGGGUCUGUAGUCUGUCUUACUGUGUUGAGGUGUGGGGAACACUGGGUCUGUAGUCUGUCUUACUGUGUUGAGGUGUUGGGAACACUGGGUCUGUAGUCUGUGUUUAGGUGUGGGGAACACUGGGUCUGUCUUACUGUGUUGAGGUGUGGGGAACACUGGGUCUGUAGUCUAUCUUACUGUGUUGAGGUGUGGGGAACACUGGUUCUGUA